Molecule: ribosomal RNA, 2595 nt
Filed under: Escherichia coli
Lineage: Bacteria; Pseudomonadati; Pseudomonadota; Gammaproteobacteria; Enterobacterales; Enterobacteriaceae
Description: bacterial LSU rRNA
Rfam family: Bacterial large subunit ribosomal RNA (bases 1-2124)
Source: RNAcentral
ACUAAGCGUACACGGUGGAUGCCCUGGCAGUCAGAGGCGAUGAAGGACGUGCUAAUCUGCGAUAAGCGUCGGUAAGGUGAUAUGAACCGUUAUAACCGGCGAUUUCCGAAUGGGGAAACCCAGUGUGAUUCGUCACACUAUCAUUAACUGAAUCCAUAGGUUAAUGAGGCGAACCGGGGGAACUGAAACAUCUAAGUACCCCGAGGAAAAGAAAUCAACCGAGAUUCCCCCAGUAGCGGCGAGCGAACGGGGAGCAGCCCAGAGCCUGAAUCAGUGUGUGUGUUAGUGGAAGCGUCUGGAAAGGCGCGCGAUACAGGGUGACAGCCCCGUACACAAAAAUGCACAUGCUGUGAGCUCGAUGAGUAGGGCGGGACACGUGGUAUCCUGUCUGAAUAUGGGGGGACCAUCCUCCAAGGCUAAAUACUCCUGACUGACCGAUAGUGAACCAGUACCGUGAGGGAAAGGCGAAAAGAACCCCGGCGAGGGGAGUGAAAAAGAACCUGAAACCGUGUACGUACAAGCAGUGGGAGCACGCUUAGGCGUGUGACUGCGUACCUUUUGUAUAAUGGGUCAGCGACUUAUAUUCUGUAGCAAGGUUAACCGAAUAGGGGAGCCGAAGGGAAACCGAGUCUUAACUGGGCGUUAAGUUGCAGGGUAUAGACCCGAAACCCGGUGAUCUAGCCAUGGGCAGGUUGAAGGUUGGGUAACACUAACUGGAGGACCGAACCGACUAAUGUUGAAAAAUUAGCGGAUGACUUGUGGCUGGGGGUGAAAGGCCAAUCAAACCGGGAGAUAGCUGGUUCUCCCCGAAAGCUAUUUAGGUAGCGCCUCGUGAAUUCAUCUCCGGGGGUAGAGCACUGUUUCGGCAAGGGGGUCAUCCCGACUUACCAACCCGAUGCAAACUGCGAAUACCGGAGAAUGUUAUCACGGGAGACACACGGCGGGUGCUAACGUCCGUCGUGAAGAGGGAAACAACCCAGACCGCCAGCUAAGGUCCCAAAGUCAUGGUUAAGUGGGAAACGAUGUGGGAAGGCCCAGACAGCCAGGAUGUUGGCUUAGAAGCAGCCAUCAUUUAAAGAAAGCGUAAUAGCUCACUGGUCGAGUCGGCCUGCGCGGAAGAUGUAACGGGGCUAAACCAUGCACCGAAGCUGCGGCAGCGACGCUUAUGCGUUGUUGGGUAGGGGAGCGUUCUGUAAGCCUGUGAAGGUGUGCUGUGAGGCAUGCUGGAGGUAUCAGAAGUGCGAAUGCUGACAUAAGUAACGAUAAAGCGGGUGAAAAGCCCGCUCGCCGGAAGACCAAGGGUUCCUGUCCAACGUUAAUCGGGGCAGGGUGAGUCGACCCCUAAGGCGAGGCCGAAAGGCGUAGUCGAUGGGAAACAGGUUAAUAUUCCUGUACUUGGUGUUACUGCGAAGGGGGGACGGAGAAGGCUAUGUUGGCCGGGCGACGGUUGUCCCGGUUUAAGCGUGUAGGCUGGUUUUCCAGGCAAAUCCGGAAAAUCAAGGCUGAGGCGUGAUGACGAGGCACUACGGUGCUGAAGUAACAAAUGCCCUGCUUCCAGGAAAAGCCUCUAAGCAUCAGGUAACAUCAAAUCGUACCCCAAACCGACACAGGUGGUCAGGUAGAGAAUACCAAGGCGCUUGAGAGAACUCGGGUGAAGGAACUAGGCAAAAUGGUGCCGUAACUUCGGGAGAAGGCACGCUGAUAUGUAGGUGAAGCGACUUGCUCGUGGAGCUGAAAUCAGUCGAAGAUACCAGCUGGCUGCAACUGUUUAUUAAAAACACAGCACUGUGCAAACACGAAAGUGGACGUAUACGGUGUGACGCCUGCCCGGUGCCGGAAGGUUAAUUGAUGGGGUCAGCGCAAGCGAAGCUCUUGAUCGAAGCCCCGGUAAACGGCGGCCGUAACUAUAACGGUCCUAAGGUAGCGAAAUUCCUUGUCGGGUAAGUUCCGACCUGCACGAAUGGCGUAAUGAUGGCCAGGCUGUCUCCACCCGAGACUCAGUGAAAAUUGAACUCGCUGUGAAGAUGCAGUGUACCGCGGCAAGACGGAAAGGAGUGAACACGUAAUUCAUUACGAAGUUUAAUUCUUUGAGCGUCAAACUUUUAAAUUGAAGAGUUUGAUCCAUGGCUCAGAUUGAACGCUGGCGGCAGGCUAACACAUGCAAGUCGAACGGUAACAGGAAGAAGCUUGCUUCUUUGCUGACGAGUGGCGGACGGGUGAGUAAUGUCUGGGAAACUGCCUGAUGGAGGGGGAAUAACUACUGGAAACGGUAGCUAAUACCGCAUAACGUCGCAAGACCAAAAGAGGGGGACCUUCGGGCCUCUUGCCAUCGGAUGUGCCCAGAUGGGAUUAGCUAGUAGGUGGGGGGGGUAACGGCUCACCUAGGCGACGAUCCUAGCUGGUCUGAGAGGAUGACCAGCCACACUGGAACUGAGACACGGUCCAGACUCCUACGGGAGGCAGCAGUGGGGAAUAUUGCACAAUGGGCGCAAGCCUGAUGCAGCCAUGCCGCGUGUAUGAAGAAGGCCUUCGGGUUGUAAAGUACUUUCAGCGGGGAGGAAGGGAGUAAAGUUAAUACCUUUGCUCAUUGACGUU